CCACAACCAAGAUGGCCACCAGAAUGAAAAAUGACCUUACUAAAAGGGAGGCAGAACAAUAUAAUUUUGAUGGGAUCUUUCUGUUGCUAUACCGUUCAGGUAAAGAAGACAGAAUAUUCAAGAGUGAAGGAGCAGCCUCUGAAUAGCUGUGAUGACACAUCUGGACCACCCCAGAAGCUCUGCCCUUUCCAGUCAUGCUACCCUAUGAG
Molecule: long non-coding RNA, 209 nt
Organism: Polypterus senegalus (gray bichir)
Lineage: Eukaryota; Metazoa; Chordata; Cladistia; Polypteriformes; Polypteridae
Exons: 3
Source: RefSeq, a predicted model, not a curated record